UAUUAAAAAAUUCACUCAUUUCUAUUGUUAAAAGAUGAUAUGACUAACAAAACAACCAAAUAAUGACACGUGACAUUUCAUGUGUACCUCAUGUUGACGUAUGUGAACUAAUUUUUAACAAUAGAAAUGAAUGAAACUUUUAAUA
Gossypium raimondii (Peruvian cotton) is the source of this 145-nucleotide non-coding RNA. The record is from Rfam. Lineage: Eukaryota; Viridiplantae; Streptophyta; Magnoliopsida; Malvales; Malvaceae.